This is a long non-coding RNA of Pseudophryne corroboree (corroboree frog), 741 nucleotides long. RefSeq lists it as uncharacterized. Lineage: Eukaryota; Metazoa; Chordata; Amphibia; Anura; Myobatrachidae. The transcript is spliced from 4 exons. The record is from RefSeq and is a predicted model, not a curated record.
GAUGUCUCUGAGGAGAGGGGUGGAGUGAUCUAGCCUGAGGGUGAUUUCCCUGUGAGGAGAAUCUCCUGAGCAGGCAAGAGAGGGGAGCUGCACUGACUGGGUGCUACCUCAGGAACAGACUGCGGCUACCUACCAUUGCUGUGAGGGAGCUGAUGCCAGGACUCGGCUACAGAGAGCUAUUAAUUGACAGCUGAGCUGUAGGAGAGAGGAGGGAACACUCUUCCUGUGUUUGUGGUGCUGAACUGCAGGGAACCUAUCAUCCGGGACCAGAGCAGAAGAUACAGGCAACAACCCCCAGAGGUUGUAUUUCUGGAGUCUCCCCUCUAAGGAAAGAGUUGCAAAAGAUUAAAGAAAGAAUGAACAGCUGCAGUGAGGAGCCUUACCGCCGUAACCAGCAAGAGCAAGCCAGGCCAGUUGCCAGCAUUAACAAGAGAUCUUAGUGGCACCAGUCCUUCCAGAGAGACAGAGCCCCGAGGGACAGAUGGAGGGACAUCUGUUUCUAAUAAAGUUUCUGGUGCACCAGGCCGUUUCAGAGCUCCCUGAGGAGUAAUGAACACUGGGGAACAGAGCCAGAAUUCCUCCAGUAUGGAGCCAAGCCAAACAAUCAACUCAGCAAAGCCUGGAGAACCAAAGACAAGAGGAGAAGGCAAGUGAGGGAGGGGCAGAGAAGAAAUAGAGAAUGGAGUGAACAGGCUAAAAUAGAAAGAAAGAAAGAAAGAAAGAAAGAAAGAAAGAAAGAAA